Molecule: ribosomal RNA, 465 nt
Filed under: Vreelandella stevensii
Lineage: Bacteria; Pseudomonadati; Pseudomonadota; Gammaproteobacteria; Oceanospirillales; Halomonadaceae
Description: partial 16S ribosomal RNA
Rfam family: Bacterial small subunit ribosomal RNA
Source: RNAcentral
CCUACGGGUGGCAGCAGUGGGGAAUAUUGGACAAUGGGGGGAACCCUGAUCCAGCCAUGCCGCGUGUGUGAAGAAGGCCCUCGGGUUGUAAAGCACUUUCAGUGAGGAAGAACGCCUGGUGGUUAAUACCCAUCAGGAAAGACAUCACUCACAGAAGAAGCACCGGCUAACUCCGUGCCAGCAGCCGCGGUAAUACGGAGGGUGCGAGCGUUAAUCGGAAUUACUGGGCGUAAAGCGCGCGUAGGUGGCUUGAUAAGCCGGUUGUGAAAGCCCCGGGCUCAACCUGGGAACGGCAUCCGGAACUGUCAAGCUGGAGUGCAGGAGAGGAAGGUAGAAUUCCCGGUGUAGCGGUGAAAUGCGUAGAGAUCGGGAGGAAUACCAGUGGCGAAGGCGGCCUUCUGGACUGACACUGACAUUGAGGUGCGAAAGCGUGGGUAGCAAACAGGAUUAGAUACCCUUGUAGUC